RNAcentral lists this ribosomal RNA (253 nucleotides) under uncultured bacterium. Its description in RNAcentral is "partial 16S ribosomal RNA". It matches the Rfam family "Bacterial small subunit ribosomal RNA", at positions 524 to 776 of the family's 1533-position model. The record is from RNAcentral.
UACGUAGGUGGCAAGCGUUGUCCGGAUUUACUGGGCGUAAAGGGAGCGUAGGCGGAUAUUUAAGUGGGAUGUGAAAUCCCCGGGCUCAACCCGGGAGCUGCAUUCCAAACUGGAUAUCUAGAGUGCAGGAGAGGAGAGUGGAAUUCCUAGUGUAGCGGUGAAAUGCGUAGAGAUUAGGAAGAACACCAGUGGCGAAGGCGACUCUCUGGACUGUAACUGACGCUGAGGCUCGAAAGCGUGGGGAGCAAACAGG